Molecule: ribosomal RNA, 108 nt
Filed under: Periophthalmus magnuspinnatus
Lineage: Eukaryota; Metazoa; Chordata; Actinopteri; Gobiiformes; Gobiidae
Source: RNAcentral
GUGAACAUAUUGUUGUAUCUAAGCCUGAUCUAAUCAGAUCUCAGAAGCUAAGUAGGGCUGGGCCUGGUCAGUAUCUGAAUGGGACACAACUGGGAACAAGGUCCCACA